AACGAACGCUGGCGGCAUGCCUAACACAUGCAAGUCGAACGGGAUCCUAGCUUGCUAGGUGAGAGUGGCGGACGGGUGAGUAACACGUGGGAAUCUGCCUUUUGGUUCGGGAUAACCGCGGGAAACUGCGGCUAAUACCGAAUGCCCUCGAGAGAGGAAAGAUUUAUCGCCAGAAGAGGAGCCCGCGUCCGAUUAGGUAGUUGGUGGGGUAAAGGCCUACCAAGCCGACGAUCGGUAGCUGGUCUGAGAGGAUGAUCAGCCACACUGGGACUGAGAUACGGCCCAGACUCCUAACGGGAGGACAG
RNAcentral lists this ribosomal RNA (305 nucleotides) under uncultured bacterium. RNAcentral describes it as "bacterial SSU rRNA". It matches the Rfam family "Bacterial small subunit ribosomal RNA", at positions 29 to 351 of the family's 1533-position model. The record is from RNAcentral.